UCCAAGAAAUGUUUUGUUUCCAGGGAUGUUAUAUUCCAUAAAACCUGCUGUCCUUUUAAAACUGCUUCCUCUUCUGUUCACCCAUCUGCUUCAUCCUUUCCUUUUGUUCCACCUGUAGAACAUUCUGAUGAUCCAGAUCCUUCUAUUCCCAUCUCCUCUCCUCUUCCCCAUACAUCUGUUCUAGAACUUCAUCAUAUUGCUCCAGAUUCUACUGAUCCUGCUUUCAUUCCCUCUUUCAAUCCUGAUAUCUCCCCUCCUACUUUGGCCUCUUCCCCAUCUGUUUCUGUUCCCAGAAAAUCUCAAAGACAGCAUAAUCCUCCCUCUUACCAUAAGGAUUAUGUCUGUCAACCUCCUGCCUUCUCUAGAUCCUCUUCCCCUUCUUUGGAAUCUGAACCUCUAUAUUACUCUCAAGCUGCAUCUGUUCCAG
RNAcentral lists this long non-coding RNA (427 nucleotides) under Nicotiana benthamiana. RNAcentral's name for it is "long non-coding RNA (NBEN_LNC035290)". The record is from RNAcentral. Lineage: Eukaryota; Viridiplantae; Streptophyta; Magnoliopsida; Solanales; Solanaceae.